UACAGAGGGGGCAAGCGUUGUUCGGAAUUACUGGGCGUAAAGGGCGCGUAGGCGGCCUUCUAAGUCGAACGUGAAAUCCCCGGGCUCAACCCGGGAACUGCGUCCGAGACUGAAAGGCUUGAAUCCGGGAGAGGGAUGUGGAAUUCCCGGUGUAGCGGUGAAAUGCGCAGAUAUCGGGAGGAACACCGGUGGCGAAGGCGGUUCUCUGGGCCUUACCUGACGCUGAGGAGCGAAAGCGUGGGGAGCGAACAGG
RNAcentral lists this ribosomal RNA (253 nucleotides) under uncultured bacterium. RNAcentral describes it as "partial 16S ribosomal RNA". It matches the Rfam family "Bacterial small subunit ribosomal RNA", at positions 524 to 776 of the family's 1533-position model. The record is from RNAcentral.